UACGGAGGAUGCGAGCGUUAUCCGGAUUUAUUGGGUUUAAAGGGUGCGUAGGCGGAUCGUUAAGUCAGUGGUCAAAUUGAGGGGCUCAACCCCUUCCCGCCAUUGAAACUGGCGAUCUUGAGUGGAAGAGAAGUAUGCGGAAUGCGUGGUGUAGUGGUGAAAUGCAUAGAUAUCACGCAGAACCCCGAUUGCGAAGGCAGCAUGCCGGCUUCCGACUGACGCUGAAGCACGAAAGCGUGGGGAUCGAACAGG
RNAcentral lists this ribosomal RNA (252 nucleotides) under uncultured bacterium. RNAcentral's name for it is "partial 16S ribosomal RNA". It matches the Rfam family "Bacterial small subunit ribosomal RNA", at positions 524 to 776 of the family's 1533-position model. The record is from RNAcentral.